Long non-coding RNA from Scylla paramamosain (green mud crab), 1186 nucleotides. RefSeq lists it as uncharacterized. The record is from RefSeq and is a predicted model, not a curated record. NCBI's taxonomy places the organism in Eukaryota, Metazoa, Arthropoda, Malacostraca, Decapoda, Portunidae. The transcript is spliced from 4 exons.
CUGUGGACACGAGCGGAUGACUGCUGAGGAUUUUAUUGACCGUGAUCACCUGACUACUUCAGUGCCUCACCAGCGGGGUCAUAACCGCAACAGCAUCCGUGACGAACGGCUUAACACACUACUCUAUCCUCACUGUGCAGCAAUCCCGGCACACACGUAGCUGAGACUGAUACACAACGCCUCAUUACCUUGAGGCCGGGCAUAGAGGAGGGCACUGUCCUUGGGUAACUACCGCUUGCCAGCAUGCAGGACAGUGUCACCUGAGGAUGGCCUCACGACAAACAAGCAAGUGAUCCUUGUAAGGUGGAGAUGCACCCACCACUAUCACAACCACCACCACAACCACCACCAUCACUUCAGCAAGGUGGUGUGGUGAGGAGGGCCCUUCCUAAAAUCUCGCCAUGAAUCGCGGUAAUGUGCCAGUCGCUCCCAGGUCACACGCACAGUGGAGUUCAAACAGUGAUCCAGUCUUCACACCCGCGCAGUAAAACCAUGGAGCUAAAUAAUGACAGAAAUCCGGUGACUGACAAAAGUGACACGACCUACACAGUCCAGUCUGUCGUCCACACAUUCAACUUAACGCUUCCUUUCGGAUUAGGACACACGUAUUAUUUUAUUUUUGUUAUUGUUUUCAUUAUCCUCUAUUCUAGCUGGGAACCAGUUCAUGUCCAUCCCAUUUUUUGGACACACUAAUGCGAGUCCCGCCUGCUCAUCACCUCACUGUGAGAACCGUUUUUAUUGCAUUGUACUUUUUAUUCAUUUAAAUACUUAAUUCACGUUGCCCUGCAUCCUUUUUUUCCUUUCACUGUAUAAAAAUGUAAAAGUUACUGACAAAAUGACGGUUUUUAUUUGGAAUAGUAUAUAUAGAAUGAGAGGACGUAAAUCAAAAUUUCGUUUCAGAACCGAAAGAAACGAGUUCAAGAUUUGUUUGUUUUUGUUAAUGUCAGUGCGGCUGUUUGUUUAAGUUUUGAAUUCGAAAAUCGAAUUUUGGCCUGAGGUUUAGAAUAUUUCGCCCAAAUCUCAUUUGCAAUCGGACGACGGACCGCUUCCCAACUGUGAGUCCUGGAAGAUAUCCAUGAGUCUUAACAAAAUAAAAGCUAUAUUGCAUACAUCUGGCUGUAUUAUUAUGUUAUAAAUAGGUGUAAUUUUAUACAUCCUCCUCAUGCAUACUAAUAGGCGAUCAGAU